RNAcentral lists this ribosomal RNA (463 nucleotides) under uncultured bacterium. RNAcentral describes it as "bacterial SSU rRNA". It matches the Rfam family "Bacterial small subunit ribosomal RNA", at positions 28 to 430 of the family's 1533-position model. The record is from RNAcentral.
GACGAACGCUGGCGGCGCGCCUAACACAUGCAAGUCGAACGGAGACACUCUGUUCACUGAAUGGUAGGAAGGCGGCGUGUCAGUAUGGGACGUCGCGUUUUCUACUGUUGAGUGAAUAGAGUGUCUUAGUGGCGGACGGGUGAGUAACGCGUGAGCAACCUGCCAUACAGUGGGGAAUAACACACCGAAAGGUGUGCUAAUACCGCAUGAUGUGUCGAGAUCGCAUGGUCUUGGCACCAAAGAUUUAUCGCUGUAUGAUGGGCUCGCGUCUGAUUAGAUAGUUGGUGAGGUAACGGCUCACCAAGUCGACGAUCAGUAGCCGGACUGAGAGGUUGAACGGCCACAUUGGGACUGAGACACGGCCCAGACUCCUACGGGAGGCAGCAGUGGGGGAUAUUGCACAAUGGGCGCAAGCCUGAUGCAGCGACGCCGCGUGAGGGAAGACGGUCUUCGGAUUGUAAAC